Solanum lycopersicum (tomato) is the source of this 203-nucleotide non-coding RNA. Lineage: Eukaryota; Viridiplantae; Streptophyta; Magnoliopsida; Solanales; Solanaceae. The record is from RefSeq and is a predicted model, not a curated record.
GCUGGCAGUCACAGAGACGAUCCCAUUGUAAUAGAGGAUGAUGAAAAUGAUGAACCUGCCAAUACUAAUCCUUUGUUGGAGACUAUGUUUUCUGAGUCAAUUUUACAAGCUGAAUGCAUGAUUGAGAUGAGGAUUUCUACACUUAUAAUGGCGCGCAAGUAUCAACUAAGAGAGAGGAAUGAUAACAAUGAUUCAUGUUGCAU